Leptonychotes weddellii (Weddell seal) is the source of this 471-nucleotide non-coding RNA. The record is from RefSeq and is a predicted model, not a curated record. NCBI's taxonomy places the organism in Eukaryota, Metazoa, Chordata, Mammalia, Carnivora, Phocidae.
ACUGAUUUUCUUUAUUCAUUUUAGCCACAGAUCCCUUUGCUUCUGUUUUUGGAAGUGAAUCAUUUGAAGAUGGAUUUGCUGACUUCAGCACAUUGUCAAAGGUCAACAACGAAGAUCCUUUUAGUUCAGCCACAUCGAGCUCUGUCAACAAUGUGGUCAUUAAAAACAAUGUGCUUGAGGAAACAUCAGUCAAAAGUGAAGAUGUACCCCCAGCACUGCCACCAAAGAUUGGAACUCCAACAAGACCCUGCCCACCACCACCUGGGAAAAGACCCAUCAACAAAUUGGAUUCUUCUGAUCCUUUUAAACUGAAUGAUCCAUUUCAGCCUUUCCCAGACAAUGAUAGCCCCAAAGAAAAAGAUCCUGAUAUGUUUUGCGAUUCAUUCACUUCUACUACUACUACCACUACCAAUAAAGAGGCUGACCCAAGCAAUUUUGCUAACUUCAGUGCUGUAAGUACUGUGAAUGGGC